This 1344-nucleotide long non-coding RNA is filed under the name Triticum aestivum (bread wheat). RNAcentral's name for it is "long non-coding RNA (TAES_LNC025354)". Lineage: Eukaryota; Viridiplantae; Streptophyta; Magnoliopsida; Poales; Poaceae. The record is from RNAcentral.
UGGACGACCAAUCGUUCCUGCUACUCCAGCUUCCCGCCUCCCAGCUUGAAUUGGUGCUGCCACUACGGCCAGCAAGCAUCCGCCGCCAAGAUUCAUGCAUGGCUGCUUCGCGUACGCCAACACGCCCUGUCUUACCACCGGCAUGCUGCUGCUCAUCCUGCCGUCUACACGCCCUGUCUUACCACCGGCAUGCUGCUGCUCAUCCUGCCGUCUACACGCCCUUGCAGAUUCAGUGCACCGGGAGAAGAAAAAUCAAUGAAAAAUAGAAAGACCAGAUGUUAUACGCAAUGAGAGAUGACACACAUCAAGGGACUUAUUUGUGAAGGACCGAACUAACAACAUUCAUAUACUGUUUAAAAGCUUGGGGCUUCCCUUGAAUGUCAACACUCAUUUAGUUCUACACCAGUCAAUGUAAAAAAUUAAGGAGCAGCAUCAAAGAUCAACCAAAAUGUUACAAAAUAAUUUAAAAACGCAAGGCCCAAAUCUGGAAUGGUCAUUGUGAAUUGGCUCAGAGAAUGUGAACCAUAUAACCUGGAAAGUGCUAUAUAUAACAGUAUAACCGAAGAUUAUCACAAAAUUCAUAACUGUCAACCUCUAGUCCUCUACCGACACAGUUGUGCCCAUUAAAAAAUCACCAAAUUUGAGGUUGAAAUUAAAUUGCAUUUAAGCCAAGGUUAUGAUCAAAUAUAGUAUUCCCGCAAAAAAACAGCUUAAGAGAAGUUGUAAGAUUUUAGGACAUAAAUUUGUUGGAUAACUGCAUAUAAAUAUGUUUUAUAGAACUAAACUCUCUUAUAUUUCUUUAUAGAAGGAGUACUUCACAAUCUGAAUACAAACUGAUAUACAUGAGUAGAGCCAGAGCUUUCUGAAUCAUCAAUUAGACAAUUAGGAUAUGCUAUUAUACCUCCCGGUCUAGGAUGCAAUCAACUAAAAAGUCUUAAGGUCCCAAAAUUUAACAAUUGUCAUUUGAACCUACAGAAGCUUGUGGAAAGAACAGAAAGCAAAAGUUACAACUAACCAAGUCUAGAUGAUAUAUAAAUUAUUUUGGAGGAAAGAUGUUAUCUAGGAACACAUCUUAUGUUUUUGGACAGGUAUCACUGACCCCAAAAAUAUAAAGGAUGUCUUUCGCUAGAGCGUGAGUUUAUUCACCUUGUUAAUAUUAGCACUGUUGUGAGCAACUGAGCAUAUAUGGCAACUUUAUAGGUUGGACCAAACAAUAGAUUCUCCUGUAAUUUGUGUGCUACUGCUUAAUAGGUUGGAUCAAAAUCUUACCUUCACAGAACUCUUAGCCCUACCAGAAACAAUCCACCGACCAUCAGGAGCGAAUCAAGCAGAUCAAUCCUCUCA